UACGUAGGUGGCAAGCGUUGUCCGGAUUUAUUGGGUUUAAAGGGUGCGUAGGCGGCCUUGUAAGUCAGUGGUGAAAUACUCUAGCUUAACUAGAGGGGUGCCAAUGAUACUGCAGGGCUUGAGUACAGAUGAGGUAGGCGGAAUUGACGGUGUAGCGGUGAAAUGCAUAGAUAUCGUCAAGAACACCUAUAGCGAAGGCAGCUUACUGGGCUGUAACUGACGCUGAGGCACGAAAGCGUGGGGAGCGAACAGG
This 253-nucleotide ribosomal RNA is filed under the name uncultured bacterium. RNAcentral describes it as "partial 16S ribosomal RNA". It matches the Rfam family "Bacterial small subunit ribosomal RNA", at positions 524 to 776 of the family's 1533-position model. The record is from RNAcentral.